This 64-nucleotide transfer RNA is filed under the name Sibynophis collaris (collared black-headed snake). RNAcentral's name for it is "tRNA-Thr". The record is from RNAcentral. Lineage: Eukaryota; Metazoa; Chordata; Lepidosauria; Squamata; Sibynophiidae.
UGCUCUAAGGGGUAGUCCAGCUUUGGUUUACAAAAACAAUGCUUUAAGUUUAAGCUAUUAGAGC